UCAGGGCUCACCUGGCCACUCCACCUGCUGGGAUAGAGUCCCCCCGCCCCCCCCCCUCCCAACUACCCUAGGUCCCCAGAGCUUGGGGGGAGGAGACGCUGGGAGGGGACCCUGGGACUCAGAGCUAAGAACCCAGGCGGCGGAGAGGCGCGGGAACUGGGCGUUCAGAGUUUGUAGACACGCGAAGUAGGGAGUCGGGAGGCUGGGCUGAGGGCGGGGAGGGAGGGGACAGGCCGGUCCCUGCCUCAGCCGAGGGCCCUGCAGUCGGUGCGGUCUCUGGGGUCCCGGCUGGCCGGCCCGCAGUGGCUGCUCCUUGCUGUCUGGCCCACCGCUAACUUCUCCCAGCGGACCCAUGGAACUCGUCAUGUUGGUGAGGCGCUGCGCUGGGGCCCUGGGGGCCUGACCCUGCUCCAGCCGCCCUGCCGCAGGGCCCCCACUGCCCGGGACUUGGAGUGGAGACAGAUCCGAGAACACCGCUGCUCACCCGGGCGCCACAGGGGCAGUGCUGGCGCAGUGGCCUACUAUGCACUAAUCUACAGCCUAAAAUCCUUCCAUGGCUCCUUCUGGCCUUCAGAGUAGAGUCCAAGCUCCUCACCAUGGCACAGAAAGUCCUGAGUGACCUGGCUGCUGCCCGUGUCUACAGCCUUUCACCCUCUGCCUGAAACGCCGACACAAAAUUUACACAAAGGGAGUAUGUGAGAGACCACAGAUACGAGGAAAGAGAAGCCAGGAGACAGGUAAAAGCUGUGCCAGUGGUUCAGAAUGGGUGCUGGCAGGGGACAAGAAAAGCAAGAAGAUACAUGAAGAGAGACAGAUGGAAAGACCAACAGGCUCCUGGCAAUCAGGAGGCAGGCUUGGAGCCAGUCACUGCUGAAGGUGAUGGGGUCAGACAGACAGUUCUGGAGCUGUGCUGGACCUGAAAUGGGCCCCCUAUUCCUGAACCCCAUUCCAGGCAACAGGAGGCCCAGCCGUAAGGCAGUUUCUGGUUUCCCAAGUCUCUCUUACAUUCUUGCAAUAACUUCCCAUUAUUUGAGGUGGCCCGAGUGAACCCCAAGCAUGAAACAAUACAAAUGGCAACUGAAGCCACGGAUGGGGGUGUCAAUCUCCCACAGAACGUGUACGGCAAGAGAAGACUGUCCAGGAUGGAGCCCUAGCGAAUACUGACUCUGAAAUCAAGGACGCUGAGAAAGAGAAUGAGAGAGAUUGGCGAGCGAAAUCAGAAGAACGAAAUCAGCAGAAAUUACUGACUCCGAAGCCCGAGCAGGAGAAGUUUCAAAGAGGAAGGAGUAGUCAACAUAAAGCAUGUUUCUGAGAGGUCAGGAAACAUGUGUCCACUGGAUUUGGCAGCCUUGAGCAAAGUGGAGAUCUCAGGGAGUGCAGUCCCAUAUGGGAAAGGCAUCAGCUCUGAAACGCGACAUCCCAGCAUCCAUUCCAAGGCCACACCUUCGUCUCCUGACUCUCUCCCUUCUUCCAGUUCCCAGCCCUACAUUUCUGUUCAGUACACGACCCCUUCCUGGUCUAGUCCCUGAAGUAGAUCACGCCAGCUCUCUUGUGAGCUCCCUCAGUCCCCUGCCCCCUUGCUCUUUGAUUGCCCCAGCCUAGGGAAACCCUGAACUUGGGCUCAGUCCAUUCACCCACCUUUUCCACCCUUACAAAUGGGCUUCAGUACUGCUGGAGAGAGUCACAGUAAUCCUGCAGACUGGAGGCAUUACCAAGCCAUGGACUCUAAUCUACUAUUUCAGGGUGUUUGUUAUUCGCCUAGAAAACCUAAAACAAUCAACUAAACUUAGAAGGCACAGAAUAAUUUAGUAAUGGGAUCUGUACUCCAACAGAAAACAGUCACCAGAUACAAUACAAAGGAGAUCCCAUCUGCAAUCCUAACAAAAUCAUCAAAACUGAGUAAUAAACUUAACUAUAAUUAAAAAAAAAACACUACAAUCCUUUAUCGAGAGAUAUAAAAAGAGGACUUGAAAAAAAAUUGGAGAUAAACCAUGUUUUUAGAUUGGAAGGCUGAAUAUUAACACAAUGGCACACCCUCCCUGAUAAAUGAAGGCCUAACAGAAGUCUAAGAAAAAUCCCAACAGGGCUUUUGAAAUUUACCAAAAGGAUUCUAAAAACCCACCCAAAAUAUUCAACAGGUAAAAUAGCCCCCAAAUUUAAAAAUUAGAUAUUAACAGGGGUGCCUAGGUGGCUCAGUCGGUUGAGCAUCCAACUCUUGACUUUAGCUCAGGUCAUGAUACCUGGGUUGUGGGAUCGAGCCCCCUGUCGGGCUCUGCACUGAGCCUGGAGCCUGCUUGAGAUUCUCUCCCUACGCCCCCUCCCCUGCUCAUUCUCUCUAAAUAAACAAAUAAAUAAAUAAAUAAGAUAUUAAGAAUAUAUUAUGAAAUUGCAAUUAUUAAGAUAUGGGAUACGUGUAUAAGAAUCUGUGUGUGACACAAAGAUCCGUGAAACAAGACAGCCCAGAAGUAGAGUAAUAUAUAUAUUUGUUACCCUCUAAAGUAUGUGUAUGCGUGUGUAUGUGUCUCUGUGUAUGUAUCCUGGCGCUUUGUGGUGGAAUGCACACCUAGGUAGAAUUCUCCGGUAUUGCUAUAGGAGUAAAAUUGGUAGAGCCUUUCUAAAAGACGAUGUGAGAGGCACCUGGGUGGCUCAGUGGGUUAGGUAGCUGACCCCUAAUUUCAGCUCAGGUCAUGAUCUCACAGCGAGAUCUCACGUUGGACACUGUGCUGACAGUGCGGAGCCUGCUUCGGAUUCUCUCUCUCCCUCUUUCUCUGCCCCUCCCCUGCUUACAUGCACGCUCUUGCUCUCUCUCAAAAUAAAAAAUAAAUAAAAGGCAAUCUGACAAUAUGUAUCAAAAGCCUCAAAGUUGUUUUUAUAUCCGCUGACUGCAAUAUUUCUCUUCUAAAAGUAGUCAGAAUGGUGAAGACCUUUGGAAAAGGGUGUUUAUUACAGUGUUAUUCAUAAAGGUGAAAAAAAAAUCCAGAGGCUUACAACAGAGGUUCGAUUAAAUGAUACAUCUGCAUAACUCAGUGUUAUAGACAUCAAAAGUAUGUUUUCUAAGAAUUGUGUCACUAAGAUGCACUGUAACUUAUUUAACCAAUCUGCUGUUGCUGGACACGGACCUGGUUUCUUCUGGUUUCUUCAGAUCUGCUCUGCCUUCUGUGUUCUCUCUUCUACUAUCCACCCAUCUUCCAAACCAGAACACCAGGAAUUCACAUUAAAUUCUUCGUAUCUUCAGCCCAUCCUGGCUUACUUGGUCAUCUGCUUCUUUCAAUUCUAUCUUCUUAGAAUCCCACAGACCCAAGGUCAGGGGCGACAGUACCCGGUAGGAAAGGGAAGUGUGGACAUGGCCCAGAUCUCACGCAGACCUGGGGAGGAACUGCUCCUGGGAGGGCCAGGUGUGGACUGAAAGGAAUGGCAGGUGCCAGCCUGUGCCAGGCCCCUGUCCCCUCUGCGGAGCCUGGCAGGCUCCAAGAGUUCUCCCCCCCCGGGGUUUCUGCCCGUGCCUGUCCCCCACACGUGAAGAGCAGAGGGCACAGGGGCUGCUUGGGAGAGCCAGGAACAGGCACAGCCUGGGGUGUGCGAGACUCCAGGCUAGUUUUCACAGACAUUACUUGAUUUGUAUCUCCUCCAUUCUCCCCCACUUCACAGCUACAGAUCCCAAGACAAAGUAGCAUGCUCAAGGUCACACAAGUGGCUGGGCCAACACUCAAACCCGAAUGUCAUAAAACCAAGAUGGGCGUUCUUUCUCCAUGCUAUUUAUCACCAUCAC
Long non-coding RNA from Neofelis nebulosa (Clouded leopard), 3769 nucleotides. RefSeq lists it as uncharacterized. The transcript is spliced from 3 exons. The record is from RefSeq and is a predicted model, not a curated record. Lineage: Eukaryota; Metazoa; Chordata; Mammalia; Carnivora; Felidae.